This 253-nucleotide ribosomal RNA is filed under the name uncultured bacterium. RNAcentral describes it as "partial 16S ribosomal RNA". It matches the Rfam family "Bacterial small subunit ribosomal RNA", at positions 524 to 776 of the family's 1533-position model. The record is from RNAcentral.
UACGAACUGUGCAAACGUUAUUCGGAAUCACUGGGCUUAAAGGGCGCGUAGGCGGGUCUUCAAGUUUGGGGUGAAAUCCUCCGGCUCAACCGGAGAACUGCCUCGAAUACUGAAGGUCUCGAGGGGGAUAGGGGCAUGCGGAACUACGGGUGGAGCGGUGAAAUGCGUUGAUAUCCGUAGGAACUCCGGUGGCGAAGGCGGCGUGCUGGAUCCCUUCUGACGCUGAGGCGCGAAAGCCAGGGGAGCAAACGGG